Molecule: ribosomal RNA, 675 nt
Filed under: uncultured bacterium
Lineage: Bacteria
Description: bacterial SSU rRNA
Rfam family: Bacterial small subunit ribosomal RNA
Source: RNAcentral
UUAGUUAGUUGGUAGGGUAACGGCUUACCAAGGCAUCGAUCCUUAGGGGAACUGAGAGGUUUAUCCCCCACACUGGUACUGAGACACGGACCAGACUCCUACGGGAGGCAGCAGUGAGGAAUAUUGGUCAAUGGGCGAGAGCCUGAACCAGCCAAGUCGCGUGAAGGAAGACGGUAUUAUGUAUUGUAAACUUCUUUUAUAGGGGAAUAAAGUGCGGGAUGUAUCCUGUUUUGUAUGUACCCUAUGAAUAAGCAUCGGCUAACUCCGUGCCAGCAGCCGCGGUAAUACGGAGGAUGCGAGCGUUAUCCGGAUUUAUUGGGUUUAAAGGGUGCGUAGGUGGGCUUGUAAGUCAGUGGUGAAAUCCCGAUGCUUAACAUCGGCACUGCCAUUGAAACUGCGGGUCCUGAGUGUGAGCGGGGUAGGCGGAAUUCGUAGUGUAGCGGUGAAAUGCAUAGAUAUUACGAAGAACACCGAUAGCGUAGGCAGCUUACCAGGACACAACUGACACUGAGGCACGAAAGUGUGGGUAUCAAACAGGAUUAGAUACCCUGGUAGUCCACACAGUAAACGAUGAAUACUAGGUGUUUGCGAUAUAUUGUAAGCGCCCGAGCGAAAGCGUUAAGUAUUCCACCUGGGGAGUACGCCGGCAACGGUGAAACUCAAAUGAAUUGACGG